Molecule: ribosomal RNA, 292 nt
Filed under: uncultured Planctomycetota bacterium
Lineage: Bacteria; Pseudomonadati; Planctomycetota
Description: uncultured planctomycete partial 16S ribosomal RNA
Source: RNAcentral
GGACUACUGGGGUAUCUAAUCCCGUUCGCUCCCCUAGCUUUCGCGCCUCAGCGUCAGAAGAGGUCCAGCACGUCGCUUUCGCCACCGGCGUUCCUUCCGAUAUCAACGCAUUUCACCGCUCCACCGGAAGUUCCACAUGCCCCUACCUCCCUCGAGACAGCCAGUUUCAAAGGCAAUUUUCCGGUUGAGCCGAAAGAUUUCACCCCUGACUUGGCCGCCCGCCUACGCGCCCUUUAAGCCCAGUGAUUCCGAACAACGUUUGCACGGUUCGUCUUACCGCGGCUGCUGGCAC